This 75-nucleotide transfer RNA is filed under the name Fidelibacterota bacterium. Its description in RNAcentral is "tRNA-Val". It matches the Rfam family "tRNA". Rfam says of the family: Transfer RNA (tRNA) molecules are approximately 80 nucleotides in length. Their secondary structure includes four short double-helical elements and three loops (D, anti-codon, and T loops). Further hydrogen bonds mediate the characteristic L-shaped molecular structure. tRNAs have two regions of fundamental functional importance: the anti-codon, which is responsible for specific mRNA codon recognition, and the 3' end, to which the tRNAs corresponding amino acid is attached (by aminoacyl-tRNA synthetases). tRNAs cope with the degeneracy of the genetic code in two manners: having more than one tRNA (with a specific anti-codon) for a particular amino acid; and 'wobble' base-pairing, i.e. permitting non-standard base-pairing at the 3rd anti-codon position. Lineage: Bacteria; Pseudomonadati; Fidelibacterota. The record is from RNAcentral. RNAcentral also lists the same sequence under 3 other names.
GGGCGAUUAGCUCAGUUGGUUUAGAGUGCCGCGUUCACAUCGCGGAGGUCACUGGUUCGAGUCCAGUAUCGCCUA